GACGAACGCUGGCGGCGUGCUUAACACAUGCAAGUCGAACGGAAAGGCCCUGCUUUUGUGGGGUGCUCGAGUGGCGAACGGGUGAGUAACACGUGAGUAACCUGCCCUUGACUUUGGGAUAACUUCAGGAAACUGGGGCUAAUACCGGAUAGGAGCUCCUGCUGCAUGGUGGGGGUUGGAAAGUUUCGGCGGUUGGGGAUGGACUCGCGGCUUAUCAGCUUGUUGGUGAGGUAGUGGCUUACCAAGGCUUUGACGGGUAGCCGGCCUGAGAGGGUGGCCGGCCACAUUGGGACUGAGAUACGGCCCAGACUCCUACGGGAGGCAGCAGUGGGGAAUAUUGCACAAUGGGCGGAAGCCUGAUGCAGCAACGCCGCGUGCGGGAUGACGGCCUUCGGGUUGUAAACCGCUUUCGCCUGUGACGAAGCGUGAGUGACGGUAAUGGGUAAAGAAGCACCGGCUAACUACGUG
RNAcentral lists this ribosomal RNA (468 nucleotides) under uncultured bacterium. RNAcentral describes it as "partial 16S ribosomal RNA". It matches the Rfam family "Bacterial small subunit ribosomal RNA", at positions 28 to 507 of the family's 1533-position model. The record is from RNAcentral.